This 2502-nucleotide unclassified non-coding RNA is filed under the name Hevea brasiliensis (rubber tree). Lineage: Eukaryota; Viridiplantae; Streptophyta; Magnoliopsida; Malpighiales; Euphorbiaceae. The record is from RNAcentral.
GGAGGAGCUUUCUGUCUUCUAAUAAAGUGAAGUUACGGUUCGUACUUUGCUUUGUAGCUUCUCGCAGGAAUCCUUCGCCGGGGUUUUAUUCGAGAAUAAAAUACGGAGGAGAUUCAUCGAGGUUGUACAAGAAAAUUCAAGGAGAGAAAAAAAAUACAGAAGGAAAAAGUAAAGCAAAGACUUUUUAUCAGAUCUGUUGAUUUUCAGGGACUUGGAUUUCGUUUCUUUAUUCACUCUCUGUUUGGCUUUUUAAGCUCUCUCUAAAGUAAUCAACUUUAUCUUGCUUUUUGCUGAGAAAAAUGGGCGUGAAAGUAGCUACGGCCUGUUUUCAAUGGUCGCAGCCAAUUAUAACUCAUUCUUCUUCGUCCUCUCAAACCCUAGCCUCUACAAUCUCAUCUCCUUCCUCAAAAAAACGGUGCUGUUCAGAUGGAACUAUUGCUGCAGGUCUCAUGUGUCGAUAUGUACACAGGCUUGACAGGUUCGCUCUGCUUGACACUUCAUCAACAAAACUCCGCAAGUCAUGGUCUUGUGAACAUCGAAAAUCGAGAGCUCGCACUGUAAAAACAGCUUGCAGUGCAAGCUUAGAUGCCUUCUUCGACGAAGAAUUUUCCAAGAAAAUCCAAGAGCUGGCACUCAGAUUCCAACUCUCAGAUGACAAUGGCGACUAUGUCAGUAGCGAAGUGGAUUUGGGAUCGGAGACGGUCUCUGAUUCCAGAGAUACUCAUGGCGUGAGUAGCUCAGAGAGUUAUAACAGUAUCACUCAAGAAUCUUCAAGUUUACAGAAUCAGAGACAAUUCCCUCUGGAUUCUGUAGAACCUCCGUGGCCAGAAAUUCAACAAGAGCCACCGGAUUGGUCUGAGAGGGAUGAUAUUAUUCCAGCCAGUAUCGAACGGAAAGCGAACAGCACUAACCUCCCUCUUUCGCUUCGAAUGAUAAAGAGAAAGAUGCAAUGGCAAGAGGGAUUCAGGGAAGUAGGGGAAUCUGCUUACUGUUCAGUGAAAAGGGCUUUUUCUUCUAUGGUGUUUAUAAUUCGAGAACUACAUAGCUAUUUUUUGCAAAUGAGAGAGCUUCUGUUCACUGAAGAUUUGCAGGGGAUUAUUGUUCGAGUACAGAAAGAAUUGCAUGGUUCCUUCGUUUGGUUAUUUCAACAAGUGUUCUCACACACACCGACUCUAAUGGUGUAUGUGAUGAUUCUGCUUGCUAAUUUCACAGUAUAUUCUAUGGGCAGUAACGUCUCAAUUGCAGCCGCGCCGCCACCUGUGUCUUAUGCAGCCACCACUGAAAGUGUUUCAGUUGUUGAAAUUCAAGACCAAAACAGACAAAAGUUUGAUUCUUCCUCAUUAAAAACGUUUUCAAUAUCUUCCUCAGGUGGCAAAUCGACUUUGAUCGGCGGUAACAAUGGCGAUGGUGGUAAGGUCAGGCCGGUUGCCAGUGGAACUGAUGGUGACGGUCUGUUCGACCGGUCGGACCAAUUUAGAACAUUUGUCCUUGAUGGUGCUUCGCAAUUGACCUCUCUAAGGACUACAGAGGAAGCAGAGUCAGUAUCAGGGCAAGGAACGAGAGAAGAGGAGUGUACAUGGAAUUCAAUUGUAGACGAAGCCUCAAAAAUGCAGGUUCUUGAUCAUGAGACCACGCAGAGAUUUGUUUCACCCAUAAAAGCAAAUGUUGAGCCGGAUGAUUAUGCAGAUUAUUUUAGAACAGAGCAACUAUAUCAAACGGGGUUGACCCAAGACCCUAAUAAUCCUCUCCUCCUCGCCAAUUAUGCUCAGUUCCUCUACCUCGUCGCCCGUGACUACGACAGAGCGGAAGAUUACUUUAAGAGAGCAAUUGGAGUAGAGCCGCCAGACGCUGAGGCCUACAGCAAAUAUGCAAGUUUUCUAUGGAGGGUAAGAAAGGACUUGUGGGCAGCAGAGGAAACCUUCCUGGAAGCCAUUAACGCUGACCCUACAAAUUCUUAUUAUGCUGCCAAUUAUGCCCAUUUUCUAUGGAACACUGGCGCUGAGGAUACUUGUUUCCCACUUUGCUCCCAAGAUAACCCCCAAGAACUCUAAUACACUGGGGGGGAAAAAAAGGAAAAAGUUGCAGAGAAGAUAAUUCUUAUCACUGCCUUAUCCAUCUCUUUAUUUCCACCUCUCGACUGAGAAAAGAAGUUGGUGAAAGUAAUAAAAAAUUGGAAAGAAAAGAUUAAAAAACUUUCUUAAUUAUUGGUGGAAGGUGUCAAGGAAUGUCUGGGAGGGUGUGGAACGGGAAGUGUAUUUCAUGUGGGGCGGUGUUUGGAAGCUGGGUUGCAUGUGACCGAGGAGGGAGUUUGGGAAGAAGCGAAUGGAAAAGUGGCAACUCAACACUCUGCUCUCGCGGAUCACAAUCGGCGGAUUUUACAGAGUUUCUCAAUAUGUAAAUAUUUUCCUUUCUGUUUGUAGGCGACACAACCACAUGGCAAAGUCAGUGUAGUUAUCAGAUUUGUUAAAACAUUCCCUUUUUAAUUAGAGAGUUUUUUAUUUG